Physella acuta is the source of this 170-nucleotide long non-coding RNA. RefSeq lists it as uncharacterized. The record is from RefSeq and is a predicted model, not a curated record. Lineage: Eukaryota; Metazoa; Mollusca; Gastropoda; Physidae.
GUCGUGAAUCAUUCGGCUGUUAAGUCGCUGAAGACGGAAGCCUUAGCAGGAGAAUAUUUUAACAAAGUACUUCUACCCGUGUCUAAUCUGCGUAUGGAUAAUGGGGAAUUCUUGCUUUUCCAAACGUAAAGAGGAAUCUCAGCUGACUGAAAUAAGUGGAUUUGUACUUG